AUUGAACGCUGGCGGCAGGCCUAACACAUGCAAGUCGAGCGGAUGAAGGGAGCUUGCUCCUGGAUUCAGCGGCGGACGGGUGAGUAAUGCCUAGGAAUCUGCCUGGUAGUGGGGGAUAACGUCCGUAAACGGGCGCUAAUACCGCAUACUUCCUGAGGGAGAAAGUGGGGGAUCUUCGGACCUCACGCUAUCAGAUGAGCCUAGGUCGGAUUAGCUAGUUGGUGGGGUAAAGGCCUACCAAGGCGACGAUCCGUAACUGGUAUGAGAGGAUGAUCAGUCACACUGGAACUGAGACACGGUCCAGACUCCUACGGGAGGCAGCAGUGGGGAAUAUUGGACAAUGGGCGAAAGCCUGAUCCAGCAAUGCCGCGUGUGUGAAGAAGGUCUUCGGAUUGUAAAGCACUUUAAGUUGGGAGGAAGGGAAGUAAGUUAAUACCUUGCUGUUUUGACGUUAACAAAAGAAUAAGCACCGGCUAACUUCGUG
RNAcentral lists this ribosomal RNA (484 nucleotides) under uncultured bacterium. RNAcentral's name for it is "partial 16S ribosomal RNA". It matches the Rfam family "Bacterial small subunit ribosomal RNA", at positions 30 to 507 of the family's 1533-position model. The record is from RNAcentral.